This 292-nucleotide ribosomal RNA is filed under the name uncultured bacterium. RNAcentral describes it as "partial 16S ribosomal RNA". It matches the Rfam family "Bacterial small subunit ribosomal RNA", at positions 505 to 796 of the family's 1533-position model. The record is from RNAcentral.
GUGUCAGCAGCCGCGGUAAGACGAACCGUGCGAACGUUGUUCGGAAUCACUGGGCUUAAAGGGCGCGUAGGCGGGCUGUCAAGUCUGGGGUGAAAUCCCACGGCUCAACCGUGGAACUGCCUCGGAUACUGACGGCCUCGAGGGGGGUAGGGGCGUGCGGAACUGUGGGUGGAGCGGUGAAAUGCGUUGAUAUCCACAGGAACUCCGGUGGCGAAGGCGGCACGCUGGACCUCUUCUGACGCUGAGGCGCGAAAGCCAGGGGAGCAAACGGGAUUAGAAACCCGUGUAGUCC